AUUGAACGCUGGCGGCAUGCUUUACACAUGCAAGUCGAACGGCAGCGCGGGCUUCGGCCUGGCGGCGAGUGGCGAACGGGUGAGUAAUACAUCGGAACGUGCCCAGUCGUGGGGGAUAGCUCGGCGAAAGCCGGAUUAAUACCGCAUACGACCUGAGGGUGAAAGCGGGGGAUCUUCGGAUCUCGCGCUAUUGGAGCGGCCGAUGGCAGAUUAGCUAGUUGGUGGGGUAAAGGCCUACCAAGGCGACGAUCUGUAGCUGGUCUGAGAGGACGGACAGCCACACUGGGACUGAGACACGGCCCCGACUCCUACGGGAGGCAGCGGUGGGGAAUUUUGGACGAUGGGCGAAAGCCUGAUCCAGCAAUGCCGCGUGUGUGAUGAAGGCCUUCGGGUUGUAAAGCACUUUUGGCGGGAACGAAAAGGACUGUGCCAAUACCACGGUUCGAUGACGGUACCCGCAGAAUAAGCACCGGCUAACUACGUG
Molecule: ribosomal RNA, 484 nt
Filed under: uncultured bacterium
Lineage: Bacteria
Description: partial 16S ribosomal RNA
Rfam family: Bacterial small subunit ribosomal RNA
Source: RNAcentral